AUGGAAAAGAUGGUGUUCGGAGCUAUAUCUUGGAAAAUAUUUCUUGUCAUUCCAUUAAAUUUCCGAGAAAUGGAGGAGCUGUACAUGGAUGGCGAGAAGGCGGCCAGACCCGAGUUCACCUACCCCUACUGCUAUGAGGACCAUGAGGUCGCCUCCUUGUGCGCGCAUGUAGAAGAGGAGGACCCAUUGGAGUGGAGAUAUAGUUUGCACAAUGUUCUGGUCCAUCAAAGUAUUUUAGAUGUGCAAAAGAGUAGUGUCUUGGGGUAG
Molecule: ribosomal RNA, 267 nt
Filed under: Triticum aestivum (bread wheat)
Lineage: Eukaryota; Viridiplantae; Streptophyta; Magnoliopsida; Poales; Poaceae
Description: partial small subunit ribosomal RNA
Source: RNAcentral